CCUACGGGCGGCAGCAGUGAGGAAUAUUGGUCAAUGGACGAGAGUCUGAACCAGCCAAGUAGCGUGAAGGAUGACUGCCCUAUGGGUUGUAAACUUCUUUUAUAUGGGAAUAAAAUGUUCCACGUGUGGGAUUUUGUAUGUACCAUAUGAAUAAGGAUCGGCUAACUCCGUGCCAGCAGCCGCGGUAAUACGGAGGAUCCGAGCGUUAUCCGGAUUUAUUGGGUUUAAAGGGAGCGUAGGUGGAUUGUUAAGUCAGUUGUGAAAGUUUGCGGCUCAACCGUAAAAUUGCAGUUGAAACUGGCAGUCUUGAGUACAGUAGAGGUGGGCGGAAUUCGUGGUGUAGCGGUGAAAUGCUUAGAUAUCACGAAGAACUCCGAUUGCGAAGGCAGUUCACUGGACUGCAACUGACACUGAGGCUCGAAAGUGUGGGUAUCAAACAGGAUUAGAUUCCCCUGUAGUC
RNAcentral lists this ribosomal RNA (460 nucleotides) under uncultured bacterium. RNAcentral's name for it is "partial 16S ribosomal RNA". It matches the Rfam family "Bacterial small subunit ribosomal RNA", at positions 338 to 795 of the family's 1533-position model. The record is from RNAcentral.